Molecule: ribosomal RNA, 347 nt
Filed under: uncultured bacterium
Lineage: Bacteria
Description: bacterial SSU rRNA
Rfam family: Bacterial small subunit ribosomal RNA
Source: RNAcentral
AGAGUUUGAUCCUGGCUCGGGAUGAACGCUAGCUACAGGCUUAACACAUGCAAGUCGAGGGGCAGCAUGUUGGUUGCUUGCAACCAACGAUGGCGACCGGCGCACGGGUGAGUAACGCGUAUCCAACCUACCCUUGUCCAUCGGAUAACCCGUCGAAAGGCGGCCUAACACGAUAUGCGGUUCACGGCAGGCAUCUAAGGUGAACGAAAUGUGAAGGAGAAGGAUGGGGAUGCGUCUGAUUAGCUUGUUGGCGGGGUAACGCCACAAGGCUACGAUCAGUAGGGGUUCUGAGAGGAAGGUCCCCCACAUUGGAACUCGAGACACGGUCCAAACUCCUACGGGAGGCA